RNAcentral lists this ribosomal RNA (441 nucleotides) under Triticum aestivum (bread wheat). RNAcentral's name for it is "partial small subunit ribosomal RNA". The record is from RNAcentral. Lineage: Eukaryota; Viridiplantae; Streptophyta; Magnoliopsida; Poales; Poaceae.
AUGAUAAUGAAUAAAUGUACAAGUGCUUUGUGUAAACUAUCAAGCAUUGAAGUUAAAGAACAGCUGUGGUGUCGUCGCUCUAAAGGAAGGAGCGGUGCUGGAAGCUUCAUCGCCAGAAGAACAAUUGUGGGCUUUCUUCUGGAAUUGGAAGUUGAAGGAGGUACCGAAGGUACGCUUGUUGUGUUGGAGGGUUGUACUGGAAGUCAUGUCCUGGUAUUCAACGGUUAUUUUCUUCACACAAAUCCACUAUUCAAUGCUCAACUUUUCCGACUAUGCUUUUGGAUGGGAAGAUAUUGUUCAACCGUAUUCGAGAGGGAGUGGUGGGUUCUGAUGAUUACUUCAAAUGCAAGUACGAUGUUAUUGGUAAGGUUGGCUUCUUCUCUUAUCAGAAAUGCACUUGAGCUAUCCGGCUGCUUGCAUAUGGAGUUCCCGGUGAUCUAA